UUAAGUUCAGCGGGUAAUCCUACCUGAUUUGAGGUCAGAUUGUCAAGUAUUGUCCUGUAAGGACGAUUAGAAGCUAAGCCCUCAGUAUGUUGCUUUGCAAUGGCGUAGAUAAUUAUCACACCAGAGGUUAGCGACAAAAGCUCUGCUAAUACAUUUAAGGAUAGCCGACUCGUGAAAAGCCCGCAAAUCCCAAGAUCCAA
This 200-nucleotide unclassified non-coding RNA is filed under the name Entolomataceae sp. RNAcentral describes it as "partial internal transcribed spacer 2". Lineage: Eukaryota; Fungi; Basidiomycota; Agaricomycetes; Agaricales; Entolomataceae. The record is from RNAcentral.